This 1363-nucleotide ribosomal RNA is filed under the name uncultured bacterium. RNAcentral describes it as "bacterial SSU rRNA". It matches the Rfam family "Bacterial small subunit ribosomal RNA", at positions 28 to 1381 of the family's 1533-position model. The record is from RNAcentral.
GGAGAACGCUAGCUACAGGCUUAACACACGCAAGUUCGAGGGGCAGCACGGUCUUAGCCUGCUAAGGCCGAACGGCGACCGGCGCACGGGUGAGUAACACGUAUCCAACCUGCCGUCUACUCUCGGACAGCCUUCUGAAAGGAAGAUUAAUACAAGAUGGCAUCAUGAGUCCGCAUGUUCACAUGAUUAAAGGUAUUCCGGUAGACGAUGGGGAUGCGUUCCAUUAGAUAGUAGGCGGGGUAACGGUCCACCUAGUCUUCGAUGGAUAGGGGUUCUGAGAGGAAGGUCCCCCACAUUGGAACUGAGACACGGUCCAAACUCCUACGGGAGGCAGCAGUGAGGAAUAUUGGUCAAUGGGCGAGAGCCUGAACCAGCCAAGUAGCGUGAAGGAUGACUGCCCUAUGGGUUGUAAACUUCUUUUAUAAAGGAAUAAAGUCGGGUAUGGAUACCCGUUUGCAUGUACUUUAUGAAUAAGGAUCGGCUAACUCCGUGCCAGCAGCCGCGGUAAUACGGAGGAUCCGAGCGUUAUCCGGAUUUAUUGGGUUUAAAGGGAGCGUAGAUGGAUGUUUAAGUCAGUUGUGAAAGUUUGCGGCUCAACCGUAAAAUUGCAGUUGAUACUGGAUAUCUUGAGUGCAGUUGAGGCAGGCGGAAUUCGUGGUGUAGCGGUGAAAUGCUUAGAUAUCACGAGGAACUCCGAUUGCGAAGGCAGCCUGCUAAGCUGCAACUGACAUUGAGGCUCGAAAGUGUGGGUAUCAAACAGGAUUAGAUACCCUGGUAGUCCACACGAUAAACGAUGAAUACUCGCUGUUUGCGAUAUACUGCAAGCGGCCAAGCGAAAGCGUUAAGUAUUCCACCUGGGGAGUACGCCGGCAACGGUGAAACUCAAAGGAAUUGACGGGGGCCCGCACAAGCGGAGGAACAUGUGGUUUAAUUCGAUGAUACGCGAGGAACCUUACCCGGGCUUAAAUUGCAGAUGAAUUACGGUGAAAGCCGUAAGCCGCAAGGCAUCUGUGAAGGUGCUGCAUGGUUGUCGUCAGCUCGUGCCGUGAGGUGUCGGCUUAAGUGCCAUAACGAGCGCAACCCUUGUUGUCAGUUACUAACAGGUUCCGCUGAGGACUCUGACAAGACUGCCAUCGUAAGAUGUGAGGAAGGUGGGGAUGACGUCAAAUCAGCACGGCCCUUACGUCCGGGGCUACACACGUGUUACAAUGGGGGGGUACAGAGGGCCGCUACCACGCGAGUGGAUGCCAAUCCCCAAAACCUCUCUCAGUUCGGACUGGAGUCUGCAAACCCGACUCCACGAAGCUGGAUUCGCUAGUAAUCGCGCAUUCAGCCACGGCGCGGUAAAUACGUUUCCCGACCC